Molecule: ribosomal RNA, 534 nt
Filed under: Triticum aestivum (bread wheat)
Lineage: Eukaryota; Viridiplantae; Streptophyta; Magnoliopsida; Poales; Poaceae
Description: partial small subunit ribosomal RNA
Source: RNAcentral
AUGAAAGAUCCUAACACCAGCACCAUGUCCUUCAAGCAGGCCUUCCUCAAGAACCUCCUCCUCGGACUGCAGCUCCAGGCACACACGUGCACAUCCUUCGGUAACGGCGCCAUGAGCCUCCACGAGAGGAAGCGCGCCGUCAAGUCCUCCGUGGACGUCGCCAUGGCGGCUGCGCAUGGAGGCGGAGCGAGGUGGCCCAAGGCCAUCUUGGCACCGGCGUCCAGCGCGUGCAAGGUGCAGAGGUGUAGGAGGACCGUGAGGAGGUGCUGCCGCCAUAAGAGGUGCUCGGGGAGAUCAGGCCGCACCGGUGGUGGCGACACUCCGGGGAGGCUGGUGAGCAGCAGGACCAUGGCACUGAGGGAGGUGAUACCGGGAGGCCGGAACUCCACCGUCGACGAGGCCACUCUGUUACGCGAGGCCAUGGACUACGCCAUGCACCUGCGCGCUCAGGUCGACGUGCUCCGCUGGCUCUCGGAAACCGUGCAAACAUCUAGCUCCAGUGACUCUAACCGUGCACUGCCAAAGGAGGCAUGA